This 497-nucleotide ribosomal RNA is filed under the name uncultured bacterium. Its description in RNAcentral is "partial 16S ribosomal RNA". It matches the Rfam family "Bacterial small subunit ribosomal RNA", at positions 28 to 507 of the family's 1533-position model. The record is from RNAcentral.
GAUGAACGCUGGCGGCGUGCCUAAUACAUGCAAGUCGAGCGAACAGACGAGGAGCUUGCUCCUCUGACGUUAGCGGCGGACGGGUGAGUAACACGUGGAUAACCUACCUAUAAGACUGGGAUAACUUCGGGAAACCGGAGCUAAUACCGGAUAAUAUAUUGAACCGCAUGGUUCAAUAGUGAAAGACGGUUUUGCUGUCACUUAUAGAUGGAUCCGCGCCGCAUUAGCUAGUUGGUAAGGUAACGGCUUACCAAGGCAACGAUGCGUAGCCGACCUGAGAGGGUGAUCGGCCACACUGUAACUGAGACACGGUCCAGACUCCUACGGGAGGCAGCAGUAGGGAAUCUUCCGCAAUGGGCGAAAGCCUGACGGAGCAACGCCGCGUGAGUGAUGAAGGUCUUCGGAUCGUAAAACUCUGUUAUUAGGGAAGAACAAAUGUGUAAGUAACUAUGCACGUAUUGACGGUACCUAAUCAGAAAGCCACGGCUAACUCCGUG